This 1502-nucleotide long non-coding RNA is filed under the name Citrus maxima (pomelo). Its description in RNAcentral is "long non-coding RNA (CMAX_LNC003740)". The record is from RNAcentral. Lineage: Eukaryota; Viridiplantae; Streptophyta; Magnoliopsida; Sapindales; Rutaceae.
AAAGAUAGAGGGAUUGAGCCACGGAGUGUAUUAUUGCUAAAUCCUAAAUUGAAAAGAGACCUCAAGUUUCCUAUUUCACUUGGAAUUGAGCCAGAAAGUGAAUUGUCAUAAAGAUACAAGGUAGCUAAGUUGCUCAAAUUGCCCAAAGAUGGAGGGAUUGAGCCACUAAGUUUAUUGUACCCUAAAUUAAGUGUGGAAAGAGACCUCAAGUUUCCAAAUUCACUUGGAAUUGAGCCAGAAAGUGAAUUGUUAAAAAGAGACAAGGCAGCUAAGUUGCUCAAAUUGCCCAAAGAUGGAGGGAUUGAGCCACUGAGUUUAUUAUUGCUCAAUUCUAGAUCGGAAAGAGACCUCAAGUUUCCUAUUUCACUUGGAAUUGAGCCAGAAAGUGAAUUGUCAAAAAGAUACAAGGUAGCUAAGUUGCUGAAAUUGCUCAAAGAUGGAGGGAUUGAGCCACUGAGUUUAUUAUUGUUCAAUGCUAGAUCAGAAAGAGACCUUAAGUUUCCUAUUUCACAUGGAAUUGAGCCAGAAAGUGAAUUGUUAUAAAGAUACAAGGUAGCUAAGUUGCGUAAAUUGCUCAAAGAUGGAGGGAUUGAGCCACUGAGUUUAUUAUUGCUCAAUUCUAGAUCGGAAAGAGACCUCAAGUUUCCUAUUUCACUUGGAAUUAAGCUAGAAAGUGAAUUGUUAUAAAGAUACAAGGUAGCUAAGUUGCUCAAAUUGCAAAAAGAUGGAGGAAUUGAGCCACUGAGUUUAUUAUUGUUCAAUGCUAGAUCAGAAAGAGACCUCAAGUUUCCUAUUUCACUUGGAAUUGAGCCAGAAAGUGAAUUGUCAUAAAGAUACAAGGUAGCUAAGUUGCUCAAAUUGCCCAAAGAUGGAGGGAUUGAGCCACUAAGUUUAUUGUACCCUAAAUUAAGUGUGGAAAGAGACCUCAAGUUUCCAAAUUCACUUGGAAUUGAGCCAGAAAGUGAAUUGUUAAAAAGAGACAAGGCAGCUAAGUUGCUCAAAUUGCCCAAAGAUGGAGGGAUUGAGCCACUGAGUUUAUUAUUGCUCAAUUCUAGAUCGGAAAGAGACCUCAAGUUUCCUAUUUCACAUGGAAUUAAGCCAGAAAGUGAAUUGUCAUAAAGAUACAAGGUAGCUAAGUUGCUUAAAUUGCCCAAUGAUGGAGGGAUUGAGCCACUGAGUUUAUUAUUGUUCAAUGCUAGAUCAGAAAGAGACCUUAAGUUUCCUAUUUCACCUGGAAUUGAGCCAGAAAGUGAAUUGUCAUAAAGAUACAAGGUAGUUAAGUUGCUUAAAUUGCUCAAAGAUGGAGGGAUUGAGCCACUGAGUUUAUUAUUGCUCAAUUCUAGAUCGGAAAGAGACCUCAAGUUUCCUAUUUCACCUGGAAUUGAGCCAAAAAGUGAAUUGUCAUAAAGAUACAAGGUAGCUAAGUUGCUCAAAUUGCCCAAAGAUGGAGGGAUUGAGCCACUGAGUUUAUUGUACCCUAAACUAAGUGUAGAAAGAGACCU